Molecule: ribosomal RNA, 403 nt
Filed under: Verrucomicrobiota bacterium
Lineage: Bacteria; Pseudomonadati; Verrucomicrobiota
Description: Verrucomicrobia bacterium partial 16S ribosomal RNA
Rfam family: Bacterial small subunit ribosomal RNA
Source: RNAcentral
UGGGGAAUAUUGCACAAUGGGCGCAAGCCUGAUGCAGCAACGCCGCGUGAACGAUGAAGGUCUUCGGAUCGUAAAGUUCUGUUGCAGGGGAAGAUAAUGACGGUACCCUGUGAGGAAGCCCCGGCUAAAUACGUGCCAGCAGCCGCGGUAAUACGUAUGGACCGAGCGUUGUCCGGAAUCAUUGGGCGUAAAGGGUACGUAGGCGGCCCAGUAAGUUAGAAGUGAAAUAAUAUAGCUCAACUAUAUAAAGCUUUUAAAACUGCUAGGCUUGAGAGAUGGAAGGGAAAGUGGAAUUCCUAGUGUAGCGGUGAAAUGCGCAGAUAUUAGGAAGAAUACCGGUGGCGAAGGCGACUUUCUGGUCAUCAUCUGACGCUGAGGUACGAAAGCGUGGGUAGCAAACAGG